RNAcentral lists this ribosomal RNA (478 nucleotides) under uncultured bacterium. RNAcentral describes it as "bacterial SSU rRNA". It matches the Rfam family "Bacterial small subunit ribosomal RNA", at positions 28 to 501 of the family's 1533-position model. The record is from RNAcentral.
GAUGAACGCUAGCGGCAGGCUUAACACAUGCAAGUCGAGGGGCAGCGAGGGUAGCAAUACCUGUCGGCGACCGGCGGAAGGGUGAGUAACGCGUGAGCAACAUACCCGUAUCAGUGGGAUAAUACAGGGAAACUUGUUCUAAUAUCGCAUAAUAUUAUUCAGAGGCAUCUUUGGAUAAUUAAAGUUACGGCGGAUACGGAAUGGCUCGCGUGACAUUAGCUAGAUGGUAGGGUAAUGGCCUACCAUGGCGAUGAUGUCUAGGGGUUCUGAGAGGGAGGUCCCCCACACUGGAACUGAGACACGGUCCAGACUCCUACGGGAGGCAGCAGUGAGGAAUAUUGGACAAUGGAUGGAAAUCUGAUCCAGCCAUGCCGCGUGCAGGAAGGCGGCCCUAUGGGUUGUAAACUGCUUUUGUACGGGAGCAAUAAGGUCUACGAGUAGAUUGAUGAGAGUACUGUACGAAUAAGCAUCGGCUAAC